GGCAGAUGUCGUUAUUCACAGCAGGGUUGGGGUACUUGGGGUACCGCGCUAGGAAUUUGUGGCAUAGCAACCCCAAGCUCUUCUCCUUCCGACUCGGCUGGGAUUUCUCAAAUUCGUCUCCUGAUAAGUGUUCCUGCAGAGGGAAAGGGCAAAUUUUUGGUGAAUCUUUUGGAGAGGAAAAUAUGUUCAAAGAGAUACUGGACCACAAAAGAGAUCACAGGAUUUGCUUCAAAUCAACGGAAACGGCGAGAUCAUGAUGGCAACCUCAUGUCCCUGUCUCACUGCGAAAGAGACAGAACAUCCCACCUUGUGUAAAACAUGGCUUGGUUCUCUCAGCUUUGCCAAACAGGAGCGGCAUUCUACUAUCAACGUCGGCUUUGUACCUGGCACAAGUCUGUGGGGACAUACUAGAAAGGCUCUCAGGUGCUUAGGACUCUUUGGUCAACACUCAUAUGUUGAAACCCACGUGUUGGUUCUCAAACCAUAAAGACUGUGGCUCAUUACAAGGAAGUUUAAAAGUACUGAGCGAAAGGAAACCACACAAACACCAAAGAACAAAGCGAAACAAGACAAAAUUCUCCUGCCUGAAGUUUUCUCUGACUGUGUGUAUACAGAGUAUAUUUCUAAAAACAUAAGGAAUUAAAAGAAGAGGCUCCUGGAAAAGCCGUUAAAAUGUUCUCCAAAUAGCCAACUUCUAUAACUGCAGCCACAUUUGCAGCUCAAAGAUGCCCAAGCCCAUCAUGGUAGAAGAUGGCUGCAGGAGCUGAAGGCAGCUGGUCUUACUGCAUCUGCAGUUAGGAGGCAGAGAGAUGACUGGUACUCAGCUCACUUUCUUCUUUGUAUUCAGUCUUGGAACUCCAGCCUGUGGGCCGGUGUUGCCUGUAUUCUGGAUGAGUCCUCCCACCCUAGUUAAAGCUCUUUGGAAACACCCAA
This 933-nucleotide long non-coding RNA is filed under the name Mus musculus (house mouse). RNAcentral's name for it is "predicted gene 2788". The record is from RNAcentral. Lineage: Eukaryota; Metazoa; Chordata; Mammalia; Rodentia; Muridae.